This 209-nucleotide unclassified non-coding RNA is filed under the name Herpotrichia juniperi. Its description in RNAcentral is "partial internal transcribed spacer region". The stretch from base 1 to 46 matches the Rfam family "Eukaryotic small subunit ribosomal RNA", at positions 1786 to 1831 of the family's 1831-position model. RNAcentral also lists the same sequence under 1 other name. Lineage: Eukaryota; Fungi; Ascomycota; Dothideomycetes; Pleosporales; Melanommataceae. The record is from RNAcentral.
AAGUCGUAACAAGGUUUCCGUAGGUGAACCUGCGGAAGGAUCAUUACCGUGGGGCUUCGGCCCCAUUGAGAUAGCACCCUUUGUUUAUGAGUACCCUUGUUUCCUCGGCGGGCUUGCCCGCCAUGAGGACAAUAAAAACCCUUUGUAGUAGCAGUAACUUCAGUUAAUAAUAAAUAUUAAAACUUUCAACAACGGAUCUCUUGGUUCUG